ACCAUCGCUUCCUAAGUGGGGCACAAACACAGCCAGGGGAGGCCUCCUCUAAAUGUUCGUGAAUUCUGGUUCUGGAAUCGCGAAGAAAUGGGAGCGGCCGCGCGCUUGUGAUUCUCAGGCCUUUGCUCCUCCCAUACACGUCCACGGCGCGUUACGUGGGAGAACGUUUUCGCCCCUUUUUUUUUUUUUCCAAACUGUGGGAAAAGGUGCUAGAAAAUAUGAUUGCGGGUAGAGACAGGGCCGCUGGCAGAGUAACUCAAUUUUAAUAGAGUCGGGUGUAUGCUGAGGUCGUCACCAUCCCCCAAAUCCUGUCAGUCCCACACAAAAACGGCCCUUAAAUCCCCUGCCACGGGCUCUCAUAUAGUUUUUGUCCUUGCUCUUGCAGUCACCGCUCUAUUCUGAAGGGCUUUUCAGUUCAUCCAUGCCUACCGACACUCCCGUCCCCCCCAUCAAAGUCCACGUUUAAUUUUUUGUACCUGCUUUAAAACAGCGAUUCUCAACCUUGGCUGCACUUUGCAAUUAUCUGAGGAGCUGUUUUUUAAAAAAAUACUUAGAUAUAUGGGUUCCACCCCUGUAGAUUCAGAUUUAAUUGGUCUGGCUUGAGGUCUGGGCUUGGGGAAUUUUUGAACUUUCCUAAGGUGAUUCUAACAUGCCCUAACGUAGAGAUUCACUAUUAGAAGCAUUCGUUGCUGCGACCCCUUUCAAACAUCUUUUUGCAGUUUCAUCUCCUCUUGGUGUAAGAGAUGUUCAUGAUGUUCCCUAAGGUUAGAAUAUUCUUACUGUCAUCACUUGGGUAAUUCUUUAUCAUUGUUGAAAGCGGUUCAUCUGCUUCUGAAGGUGUAAGCUCACUUGUUCCCUCCCUUGGUGGUCCUAAAGCACAUUGAAACAGAAUAUCAUUGUGCUAGUUAUUAAAAUGCAUUGGGAUUAUUUAUACCCCUU
RNAcentral lists this long non-coding RNA (939 nucleotides) under Homo sapiens (human). Its description in RNAcentral is "non-protein coding lnc-MPC1L-14:1". Lineage: Eukaryota; Metazoa; Chordata; Mammalia; Primates; Hominidae. The record is from RNAcentral.